Molecule: ribosomal RNA, 374 nt
Filed under: uncultured bacterium
Lineage: Bacteria
Description: bacterial SSU rRNA
Rfam family: Bacterial small subunit ribosomal RNA
Source: RNAcentral
GAUGAACGCUAGCGGCAGGCCUAAUACAUGCAAGUCGAACGGUAAUGGCGCCAGCAAUGGCGCCACAAGAGUGACGCACGGGUGCGUAACACGUAUGCAACCUACCCUUUACAGGAGUAUAGCUCGGGGAAACUCGAAUUAACCCUUCAUAGUAUAAAUGAAUGGCAUCAUUUGUUUAUUAAAUCUGAGGAGGUAAAGGAUGGGCAUGCGUCUGAUUAGCUAGUUGGUAGUGUAAUGGACUACCAAGGCGAUGAUCAGUAGGGGAACUGAGAGGUUGAUCCCCCANACUGGCACUGAGAUACGGGCCAGACUCCUACGGGAGGCAGCAGUAGGGAAUAUUGGUCAAUGGGUGAGAGCCUGAACCAGCCAUGCCG